UUGGCCGAAACUAAGAAGAAAGAAGAAUGUUUAAAAGCUUUAACAUUUUCGGCACUUACAAGCUUGAUUAAGGUAUGAAUUUUGUUCGGUUUUUGAUAAUUUUUACGUUUUUGAGAUCGUUGUUUUGAAUACUUCAAAACCCAUGUCUUAAUUUUGUGAAUUGUUGAUGAUUUUGAAAUGUGCCAUUGAUGAAUGUUUGAUUUUUAUGAUGUUAGUAGGUGAAAUAUGAAAUAUAUGUGUUAGAUUAACAUGUUUUGUUUUUUGAAUUUUUGGUGAAUUUGAGUAAUUAGGGUUAAAUUGUGAAAAUAAAUUUUUGAGGGAUUAAAAUGAAAAAUAAAUGAAAUGCAUGGACUUGUAUGAAUACAAGGAAGAUUCGGACUAACUAUGUUGUUGUGAGAUUUUGUGUAUUUUGUGUUUUAUGCAAUAGGGACUAAAUUGCAAAAAGUGUAAAAUAUUAGGGGGAAUGGUAAUUUUCUCAUUUAUGUGUUUUUGGAUCAAAUUGAAUGAUUUGGUAAAUAAAAGGGUUAAAUUUGAAUAUGUUUAGAUCGAGAAUCGAAGAAAACAGAAUUAGAUCGAGGGAAGUCGAAAGUAGUCGAUUAGUCAAUUUCGCCCGUCGAAAUCUGAGUUAAGUCGAUAAGCAUUUAAAUUUGUUAAAAUUCAUGAAUAUAUAUAAUAGAUAUGUAGUAAAUUGAAUUAUUGAAUUAUUGAAUUGGUUAAUUGUCUUGGCCGAAUUUGUAUGCUAGGAUAGAGAUUUUAUUUCGAGUUCGAUUCAAUCGAAAAUCAAUGUUUGAAGCCCAUACGAACCCUUGGAAUAGAUGGGAUACUUAUGUCAUGACAUAAGAUUUCCUAUAAGUGUUUUCGUGUGAGACCACGUUUGGGACGUUGGCAUCGACUUGUGUUUUCGUGUAAGACCACGUUUAGGACGUUGGCAUCGACUUGUGUUUUCGUAUAAGACCCUGUCUGGGAUAGUGGCAUCGAUCUGUGAUUACAUGUAAGACCACGUCUGGGACGUUGGCAUUGUACGAGCCUUACGACUAUUCGCGUAUCCUUUUAAAUUCCGAACGGUUCAACGGGUAAUGUUAAACGAAGACGAAUAUGUAAUUGAAUUAUAUGUGCAGGUAUGUAUUAGUUAAAUGAAUAUAUGGAAAUAAGGUAAGUUAUUUAUUUAGAAUUAUAUAUAGUAUGUGAAUAUAAAUUUUGAAUGAUCAUGUUUGUACAUAUAUGUGUAAUUCGGUUUUUAGUUGAUAACUAUGUUGUCAAAGGUGAAAAAUUUAUAUGCAUUUAUACAUGGAUAUAUUCGGUAUUAUAAUUGUAUAUGUGAUCAAAGUAUGACUAUGUAAUGUAUGAACUCUUUAUAUAGUAAAUUAUGUGCCUUUAAUCUUUACUAGUUAAAUAUUGUUUAUGCUUAUGACUUACUAAGCUUUAAAUAGCUUACUGUGUGUGUUUGUAUUUGUUUACCUUUGUUUCAUAGAUUUUGAAGUCGUUACAAGCUCGAGGAUCGUCAGUAAAGCCUAUCACACUAUCGACUAACUACAGUAUAUUAUAAGCUGAAAUUUCUUUUGAAACUAUGGCAUGUAUAGACUAGCUUUGGGGUUUGCUUAAUUCGAAAAUGUAUGUAUUAAAGCCAUCCGAAAAUGGCUUAAUUUUCUUGUUUGUGCUUGGUUUUGGUUGAAUUAAGACUUAAGCUUACUUUGAUCAUGGUUUAAAUUUUAUGUGGAUGAUAU
RNAcentral lists this long non-coding RNA (1724 nucleotides) under Gossypium raimondii (Peruvian cotton). RNAcentral's name for it is "long non-coding RNA (GRAI_LNC010994)". The record is from RNAcentral. Lineage: Eukaryota; Viridiplantae; Streptophyta; Magnoliopsida; Malvales; Malvaceae.